CAAAGGAUGGAAGGGUCUAAGACGUCCAACAACAGCACCAUGCAGGUGAGCUUCGUGUGCCAGUGCUGCAGUCAGCCCCUGAAACUGGACACGAGUUUCAAGAUCCUGGAUCGUGUCACCAUCCAGGAACUCACAGCUCCAUUACUUACUACAGCCCAGAUGAAACCAGGAGAGACCCAGGAGGAAGAGACUAACUCAGGAGAGGAGCCAUUUAUUGAAACUCCUCGCCAGGAUGAUGUCUAUUACUGAUUCAUCCCCCCAGCAAGGAUGAUGUCCACAGAAAGCACCAACAGCUUCACUCUAAUUGGGGAAGCAUCUGAUGGCAGCACCAUGGAGAACCUCAGCCGAAGACUGAAGGUCACUGGGGACCUUUUUGACAUCAUGUCAGGCCAGACAGAUGUGGAUCACCCACUGUGUGAGGCAUGCACAGAUACUAUUUUAGACCAGCUGAACACUCAGCUCAAUGUCACUGAAAAUGAAUGUCAGAACUACAAACGCUGUUUGGAGAUCUUAGAGCAAAUGAAUGAAGAUGACAGUGAACAGCUAUAGAUGGAGCUAAAAGA
Saimiri boliviensis boliviensis (Bolivian squirrel monkey) is the source of this 563-nucleotide non-coding RNA. The record is from RefSeq and is a predicted model, not a curated record. Lineage: Eukaryota; Metazoa; Chordata; Mammalia; Primates; Cebidae.